Molecule: ribosomal RNA, 433 nt
Filed under: uncultured bacterium
Lineage: Bacteria
Description: partial 16S ribosomal RNA
Rfam family: Bacterial small subunit ribosomal RNA
Source: RNAcentral
AACGAACGCUGGCGGCAUGCCUAACACAUGCAAGUCGAACGAGACCUUCGGGUCUAGUGGCGCACGGGUGCGUAACGCGUGGGAACCUGCCCUUAGGUUCGGAAUAACUCCCCGAAAGGGGUGCUAAUACCGGAUAAUGUCUUCGGACCAAAGAUUUAUCGCCUUUGGAUGGGCCCGCGUUGGAUUAGCUAGUUGGUAGGGUAAAAGCCUACCAAGGCGACGAUCCAUAGCUGGUCUGAGAGGAUGAUCAGCCACACUGGGAAUGAGACACGGCCCAGACUCCUACGGAAGGCAGCAGUAGGGAAUAUUGGACAAUGGGCGAAAGCCUGAUCCAGCAAUGCCGCGUGAGUGAUGAAGGCCUUAGGGUUGUAAAGCUCUUUUACCCGGGAUGAUAAUGACAGUACCGGGAGAAUAAGCUCCGGCUAACUCCGUG